CCUACGGGAGGCAGCAGUGGGGAAUAUUGCACAAUGGGGGAAACCCUGAUGCAGCGACGCCGCGUGAAGGAAGAAGUAUUUCGGUAUGUAAACUUCUAUCAGCAGGGAAGAAAAUGACGGUACCUGACUAAGAAGCCCCGGCUAACUACGUGACAGCAGCCGCGGUAAUACGUAGGGGGCAAGCGUUAUCCGGAUUUACUGGGUGUAAAGGGAGCGUAGGCGGUGUAGCAAGUCAGAAGUGAAAGCCCGGGGCUCAACUCCGGGACUGCUUUUGAAACUGUUGAACUAGAGUGCAGGAGAGGUAAGUGGAAUUCCUAGUGUAGCGGUGAAAUGCGUAGAUAUUAGGAGGAACACCAGUGGCGAAGGCGGCUUACUGGACUGUAAAUGACGCUGAGGCUCGAAAGCGUGGGGAGCAAACAGGAUUAGAUACCCCUGUAGUC
This 440-nucleotide ribosomal RNA is filed under the name uncultured bacterium. Its description in RNAcentral is "partial 16S ribosomal RNA". It matches the Rfam family "Bacterial small subunit ribosomal RNA", at positions 338 to 795 of the family's 1533-position model. The record is from RNAcentral.